UCACGGAGAGUUUGAUCC
RNAcentral lists this ribosomal RNA (18 nucleotides) under Streptomyces lividans. RNAcentral's name for it is "partial 16S ribosomal RNA". Lineage: Bacteria; Bacillati; Actinomycetota; Actinomycetes; Kitasatosporales; Streptomycetaceae. The record is from RNAcentral.